RNAcentral lists this ribosomal RNA (500 nucleotides) under uncultured bacterium. RNAcentral describes it as "partial 16S ribosomal RNA". It matches the Rfam family "Bacterial small subunit ribosomal RNA", at positions 30 to 523 of the family's 1533-position model. The record is from RNAcentral.
AUUGAACGCUGGCGGAAUGCUUUACACAUGCAAGUCGAACGGCAGCACGGACUUCGGUCUGGUGGCGAGUGGCGAACGGGUGAGUAAUGUAUCGGAACGUGCCCAGUCGUGGGGGAUAACGUAGUGAAAAUUACGCUAAUACCGCAUACGAUCUAUGGAUGAAAGCGGGGGAUCGCAAGACCUCGCGCGAUUGGAGCGGCCGAUAUCAGAUUAGGUAGUUGGUGGGGUAAAGGCCCACCAAGCCAACGAUCUGUAGCUGGUCUGAGAGGACGAGCAGCCACACUGGAACUGAGACACGGGCCAGACUCCUACGGGAGGCAGCAGUGGGGAAUGUUGGACAAUGGGCGAAAGCCUGAUCCAGCCAUUCCGCGUGCAGGAUGAAGGCCCUCGGGUUGUAAACUGCUUUUGUACAGAACGAAAAGGUUUCUACUAAUACUAGGAGCUCAUGACGGUACUGUAAGAAUAAGCACCGGCUAACUACGUGCCAGCAGCCGCCGUAA